This 356-nucleotide transfer-messenger RNA is filed under the name Coxiellaceae bacterium. It matches the Rfam family "transfer-messenger RNA". From Rfam's summary of the family: Bacterial tmRNA, also known as 10Sa RNA or SsrA, is named for its dual tRNA and mRNA-like properties. Lineage: Bacteria; Pseudomonadati; Pseudomonadota; Gammaproteobacteria; Legionellales; Coxiellaceae. The record is from RNAcentral.
GGGGGCGACCGGUUUCGACGUAGAUUGCGAAGCUCUAGGUGCAUGCCGAGGAUGUAGCCUUACUCGUAAAAUAUGACUAUAAACGAAAUAAACGCCAAUGAUGAAGAAGCGUUAGCAGUUGCCUAAAACCAACUGAUCCGUGUUCAAGAUGUACUUAUGCGUCUUGUUUUACGGUCAUUUACAUAAGUCUAUAUUUAUGGUGUGUUUGAUACCAUAACUAUUAGUAAUAAAUCAAACUAGUUUGUUGUUAUUCUUGUUCGUCAGUGAACAACUUACGAAAUUGAAGAUGAACUAUGCAUGUAGUACCAAAAGUAGAGAAUUUGCGGACGCGGGUUCAAUUCCCGCCGCCUCCACCA